Molecule: ribosomal RNA, 460 nt
Filed under: uncultured bacterium
Lineage: Bacteria
Description: partial 16S ribosomal RNA
Rfam family: Bacterial small subunit ribosomal RNA
Source: RNAcentral
CCUACGGGGGGCAGCAGUGAGGAAUAUUGGUCAAUGGACGCAAGUCUGAACCAGCCAUGCCGCGUGCAGGAAGACGGCUCUAUGAGUUGUAAACUGCUUUUGUACGAGGGUAAACGCACAUACGCGUAUCUGUCUGAAAGUAUCGUACGAAUAAGGAUCGGCUAACUCCGUGCCAGCAGCCGCGGUAAUACGGAGGAUUCAAGCGUUAUCCGGAUUUAUUGGGUUUAAAGGGUGCGUAGGCGGGGUGAUAAGUUAGAGGUGAAAUCCCGGGGCUCAACUUCGGAAUUGCCUCUGAUACUGAUGAGCUAGAGUGUAGGAGAGGUAGGCGGAAUGUAUGGUGUAGCGGUGAAAUGCUUAGAGAUCACACAGAACACCGAUUGCGAAGGCAGCUUACCAGGCUACUUCUGACGUUGAGGCACGAAAGCGUGGGGAGCAAACAGGAUUAGAUACCCGGGUAGUC